AAUCAACGCUGGCGGCGUGCCUCAGACAUGCAAGUCGAACGAGAAAGUUCCCUUCGGGGGAUGAGUAAAGUGGCGCACGGGUGAGUAACACGUAGGUAAUCUACCUUCGGGUGGGGAAUAACCCAGGGAAACUUGGGCUAACACCGCAUAAUGCAGCGGCACCACAUGGUGACAGUUGUUAAAGCGGGGGAUUUUAGGACCUCGCGCCUGAAGAGGAGCCUGCGGCGGAUUAGCUAGUUGGAGGGUAACGGCUUACCAAGGCGACGAUCCGUAACCGGCCUGAGAGGGCGGUCGGUCACACUGACACUGACAUACGGGUCAGACUCCUACGGGAGGCAGCAGUCGGGAAUUUUGGGCAAUGGGCGAAAGCCUGACCCAGCAACGCCGCGUGAAGGAUGAAAUCCCUCGGGAUGUAAAC
Molecule: ribosomal RNA, 418 nt
Filed under: uncultured bacterium
Lineage: Bacteria
Description: bacterial SSU rRNA
Rfam family: Bacterial small subunit ribosomal RNA
Source: RNAcentral